This 603-nucleotide ribosomal RNA is filed under the name Herbaspirillum sp. RNAcentral's name for it is "bacterial SSU rRNA". It matches the Rfam family "Bacterial small subunit ribosomal RNA", at positions 59 to 655 of the family's 1533-position model. The record is from RNAcentral. Lineage: Bacteria; Pseudomonadati; Pseudomonadota; Betaproteobacteria; Burkholderiales; Oxalobacteraceae.
CAGUCGAACGGCAGCACGGGAGCUUGCUCCUGGUGGCGAGUGGCGAACGGGUGAGUAAUAUAUCGGAACGUGCCCUAGAGUGGGGGAUAACUAGUCGAAAGAUUAGCUAAUACCGCAUACGAUCUACGGAUGAAAGUGGGGGAUCGCAAGACCUCAUGCUCAUGGAGCGGCCGAUAUCUGAUUAGCUAGUUGGUGGGGUAAAAGCUCACCAAGGCGACGAUCAGUAGCUGGUCUGAGAGGACGACCAGCCACACUGGAACUGAGACACGGUCCAGACUCCUACGGGAGGCAGCAGUGGGGAAUUUUGGACAAUGGGCGCAAGCCUGAUCCAGCAAUGCCGCGUGAGUGAAGAAGGCCUUCGGGUUGUAAAGCUCUUUUGUCAGGGAAGAAACGGUCUUGGUUAAUACCUGGGGCUAAUGACGGUACCUGAAGAAUAAGCACCGGCUAACUACGUGCCAGCAGCCGCGGUAAUACGUAGGGUGCAAGCGUUAAUCGGAAUUACUGGGCGUAAAGCGUGCGCAGGCGGUUAUACAAGACAGAUGUGAAAUCCCCGGGCUCAACCUGGGAAUUGCAUUUGUGACUGUAUGGCUAGAGUGUGUCAGA